This is a long non-coding RNA of Larimichthys crocea (large yellow croaker), 684 nucleotides long. RefSeq lists it as uncharacterized. The transcript is spliced from 3 exons. Lineage: Eukaryota; Metazoa; Chordata; Actinopteri; Sciaenidae. The record is from RefSeq and is a predicted model, not a curated record.
AUCAGUCAGCAUCACCGGUGCUUGAUUGCGCAUUGGUGCCACCUGUCAAUUACUGCGCUCCCCUCGGGCGCACUUUGUCUCUGUUGCGUGCUCCGGUUCCUUGAUGUGCUUGGCGUGCUUCGUGUGUGCUCAUUUUUGAGGUAAGCAUGGGCGCCGCUUGUGCAAUCUUAUGGCACAUCAUGGUGUGACAGCUGCGGUGAUUUAGCUAUUUUCAGUAUCGUUGGCCGCGCUGAUUGGGUGCAGUGUCGUGAAAGUGUGGAGUGUGGUGUCCGCGCUCUGUCACCGCAGACUGUGACUGGUACUGGGGCGCUCAAGCGCUCUUCGUUCGGCUGUUGAAGCCACAGCGGUUCCUCCAUUUCUUCUUCUGCGCUCCGUGUGAGGCCGCACUGCGCAGCUCAGUGACGUGCGCCACAGCGGCUAUCCAAGCGUAAACUGUUUGCAGCCUCCAGCCUGAUGCGGACGCUCCGUCUUCUACACGCCGUCUUUCUCGCAGUCCUUUCGGGCUCCUGGUGGUUUUCAGCCUCACUACAACUCCUGACAGGAGCUGGUGCAGUGUGUGGCAAACUUCCCUGCUGGAGGUCCCCAUUUCACAUCCCUUAACUUUGCUGUGGCACAUGGUGAUUCGGUUUGUAGUGGGUUUGUGUGAUUUGAGUAGUUUGACUGCCCACCUCACUAAGCCGUAGC